GGGGAUUUAGCUCAGUGGUAGAGCGCUUGCCUAGCAAGCGCAAGGCCCUGGGUUCAGUUCCCAGCUCUG
Non-coding RNA from Rattus norvegicus (Norway rat), 69 nucleotides. NCBI's taxonomy places the organism in Eukaryota, Metazoa, Chordata, Mammalia, Rodentia, Muridae. The record is from Rfam.